AAAGCCAUGACUCAACAGCAGAACGUUAACCAUUAUUUGCUUAAUGGAACUCUUUCUGACCAUCACAAUUACCAAGAGAACAUAUAUGUGACCAUAAAUGGCCUUGGAUUAACGUACACUAGGACACUUUCCCUGCUAACCUGUAUAGAUAUGUCUGGAAACAAUUUAAGUGGAGAACUUCCUGAAGCAAUAACAAAAUUAGUUGGUUUGGAGACAUUGAACCUGUCAAGAAACCACAUAAGUGGCCAGAUUCCUAAGAGCAUUUCAGAAAUGCGUCAGCUAUUAUCUCUUGAUCUCUCAGGCAAU
RNAcentral lists this unclassified non-coding RNA (306 nucleotides) under Hevea brasiliensis (rubber tree). The record is from RNAcentral. Lineage: Eukaryota; Viridiplantae; Streptophyta; Magnoliopsida; Malpighiales; Euphorbiaceae.